Molecule: ribosomal RNA, 623 nt
Filed under: uncultured bacterium
Lineage: Bacteria
Description: bacterial SSU rRNA
Rfam family: Bacterial small subunit ribosomal RNA (bases 1-532)
Source: RNAcentral
CCUACGGGAGGCAGCAGUGAGGAAUAUUGGACAAUGGGCGCAAGCCUGAUCCAGCCAUGCCGCGUGCAGGAAGACGGUCCUAUGGAUUGUAAACUGCUUUUAUACAGGAAGAAACACCUCUACGUGUAGAGACUUGACGGUACUGUAUGAAUAAGCAUCGGCUAACUCCGUGCCAGCAGCCGCGGUAAUACGGAGGAUGCAAGCGUUAUCCGGAAUCAUUGGGUUUAAAGGGUCCGUAGGCGGUUUAAUAAGUCAGUGGUGAAAGCCCAUCGCUCAACGAUGGAACGGCCAUUGAUACUGUUAAACUUGAAUUAUUAGGAAGUAACUAGAAUAUGUAGUGUAGCGGUGAAAUGCUUAGAGAUUACAUGGAAUACCAAUUGCGAAGGCAGGUUACUACUAAUAUAUUGACGCUGAUGGACGAAAGCGUGGGGAGCGAACAGGAUUAGAUACCCUGGUAGUCCACGCCGUAAACGAUGGAUACUAGCUGUUCGGAGCAAUCUGNGUGNGUAGAGAAGAGAGUAAGUAUACCACCGUCGGGUAGGUACGUUCGCGAGAAGAGAAAGUUAAAGUAAAGUUAGUACGGCGUAGAGACGUAGACGACGGACGACGACGAGGGGAGGAGG